Triticum aestivum (bread wheat) is the source of this 134-nucleotide non-coding RNA. The record is from Rfam. Lineage: Eukaryota; Viridiplantae; Streptophyta; Magnoliopsida; Poales; Poaceae.
AUAAUACUCCCUCCGUCCCAAAAUUCUUGUCUUAGAUUUGUCUAGAUACGGAUGUAUCUAAUACUAAAACGUGACUUGAUACAUUCGUAUUUAGACAAAUCUAAGACAAGAAUUUUGGGACGGAGUAGUAAUAA